AAUGCUGCAUACAGGAGAUGAGGGAGGACGGCCAGACACCUGGAAGCCGGAAAAUGAGUGAAGCUGUGCCUGAUGCUGGGUUGGCCCGGUGUGCAGGGUGCCAGGGUGCAGCGGGAGGGUGGACUAUAUACACCCUGUACAAGAGGUGCUCCUGAAACAGUAGUCAUUUAAAGAGGAGAGAGAAAGGGAGGAAAGGCAGCCAUCAGGUGGCGCACUGAGUCCACACCCCAAAAGGCAAAGGGCUCACCAGGACCUUAAGGACCUCUGCUGCUGCUGCUGCUGCUUCAGGACUCAGUGGCCUUUGAGGAUGUGGCAGUGAACUUCACCCAGGAGGAGUGGGCUUUGCUGGAUCCUUGGCAGAAAAAACUCUACAGAGAUGUGAUGCUGGAAACCUAUAGGAACCUGGCUUCAGGAAAAAAUGUGAAGAGCAUAACAUUGAAGAUCAGUCCAAAAACCAAGAAAGAAGUCUAAGGCACAUCAGAUCUCACACUGGACACAAACCAUAUGAGUGUCAAGAUUAUGGAGAAAAGCCGUAUAGAUGUAAGGAAUGUGGGAAGGCCUUCAGUUAUUUCCAGUCAUUU
This 581-nucleotide long non-coding RNA is filed under the name Homo sapiens (human). Its description in RNAcentral is "non-protein coding lnc-ZNF136-1:4". Lineage: Eukaryota; Metazoa; Chordata; Mammalia; Primates; Hominidae. The record is from RNAcentral.